CUAGAAGUAUGGAUAGAUUAAAAUUAAAAUAUUAUUCUAAAGGCAAUAGAGCUGGUAAAAUGUUAUCCCAAAAACUUAGAAAACAAAAGGGACAGAACAGAGCGGAAAAAUUAAUAAAUAAUGGAAAUAUAGUAACAACUCCCAAAGAAAUAGGACAACAAUUCAAUACAUUUUAUAGUAACUUAUAUAACAUACCUCAAACCCCAACAGUUGAAAACAUUGAAAAAUAUAUUGAAAGCAUAAACAAAUUCCAGUUAACAAAAGCAAAAAAUGGGGGGAUGGGUUUGCACCAAUAUAUACAAUAAAUGAUAAUAUCAAGUCCAAUAGGAUCUAUGUUGUUGUCUCCAAAGUUCUACUUGUUGCGAUAUCCAGAGGAUGUCAGUGACAUAAAGGAUGAUCCAAAGUAGUAAAAAUAGAAGAGGUCUUACUUACAGUUGACAGAGCUUAAACCAGCUCUGGUGUGAAUGGCUUACAGUGGUAUUAUCCCCGCUUGCAGGAUAUACGGCAAGUGUCCUCUUCUAUGUAGUGGCAGGUGACCAAGUUGGAAAUAAAAAUGGAAACAGUAUAUAGGGCAGGCUAACUGCUCUAUGUAACAGCGUAGGUGGUAUAAUCCCCACCUAGGAUUCUUUG
This 630-nucleotide long non-coding RNA is filed under the name Pelobates cultripes (western spadefoot toad). Lineage: Eukaryota; Metazoa; Chordata; Amphibia; Anura; Pelobatidae. The record is from RNAcentral.